Molecule: transfer RNA, 74 nt
Filed under: Nematostella vectensis (starlet sea anemone)
Lineage: Eukaryota; Metazoa; Cnidaria; Anthozoa; Actiniaria; Edwardsiidae
Rfam family: tRNA
About the family: Transfer RNA (tRNA) molecules are approximately 80 nucleotides in length. Their secondary structure includes four short double-helical elements and three loops (D, anti-codon, and T loops). Further hydrogen bonds mediate the characteristic L-shaped molecular structure. tRNAs have two regions of fundamental functional importance: the anti-codon, which is responsible for specific mRNA codon recognition, and the 3' end, to which the tRNAs corresponding amino acid is attached (by aminoacyl-tRNA synthetases). tRNAs cope with the degeneracy of the genetic code in two manners: having more than one tRNA (with a specific anti-codon) for a particular amino acid; and 'wobble' base-pairing, i.e. permitting non-standard base-pairing at the 3rd anti-codon position.
Source: Rfam by way of RNAcentral
GUCUCUGUGGCGCAAUCGGUUAGCGCGUUCGGCUGUUAACCGAAAGGUUGGUGGUUCAAGCCCCCUUAGGGACG